GAUGAACGCUGGCGGCGUGCCUAAUACAUGCAGGUCGAGCGAACAGAUAAGGAGCUUGCUCCUUUGACGUUAGCGGCGGACGGGUGAGUAACACGUGGGUAACCUACCUAUAAGACUGGGAUAACUUCGGGAAACCGGAGCUAAUACCGGAUAACAUUUGGAACCGCAUGGUUCUAAAGUGAAAGAUGGUUUUGCUAUCACUUAUAGAUGGACCCGCGCCGUAUUAGCUAGUUGGUAAGGUAACGGCUUACCAAGGCGACGAUACGUAGCCGACCUGAGAGGGUGAUCGGCCACACUGGAACUGAGACACGGUCCAGACUCCUACGGGAGGCAGCAGUAGGGAAUCUUCCGCAAUGGGCGAAAGCCUGACGGAGCAACGCCGCGUGAGUGAUGAAGGGUUUCGGCUCGUAAAACUCUGUUAUUAGGGAAGAACAAACGUGUAAGUAACUGUGCACGUCUUGACGGUACCUAAUCAGAAAGCCACGGCUAACUACGUG
RNAcentral lists this ribosomal RNA (497 nucleotides) under uncultured bacterium. RNAcentral's name for it is "partial 16S ribosomal RNA". It matches the Rfam family "Bacterial small subunit ribosomal RNA", at positions 28 to 507 of the family's 1533-position model. The record is from RNAcentral.